Molecule: ribosomal RNA, 635 nt
Filed under: Glaciozyma litoralis
Lineage: Eukaryota; Fungi; Basidiomycota; Microbotryomycetes; Kriegeriales; Camptobasidiaceae
Description: partial large subunit ribosomal RNA
Rfam family: Eukaryotic large subunit ribosomal RNA
Source: RNAcentral
AUUGAAUGCGGAGGAAAAGAAACUAACAAGGAUUCCCCUAGUAACGGCGAGUGAAGCGGGAAGAGCUCAAAUUUGUAAUCUGGCCUUUUCAAGGUCCGAGUUGUAAUCUCGAGAAGUGUUUUCCGCGUCGGACUGCAUAAAAGUCUAUUGGAAUAUAGCGUCAUAGUGGUGAGAGCCCCGUACUUGAUGCAGAUGCCCGAUGCUUUGUGAUACACUUUCGAAGAGUCGAGUUGUUUGGGAAUGCAGCUCAAAUUGGGUGGUAAAUUCCAUCUAAAGCUAAAUAUUGGCGAGAGACCGAUAGCGAACAAGUACCGUGAGGGAAAGAUGAAAAGCACUUUGGAAAGAGAGUUAACAGUACGUGAAAUUGUUGGAAGGGAAACGCUUGAAAUCAGACUUGCUAUUCGGAAUUCAGCCGCAAGGUGUACUUUUCGAUUUGCAGGCCAGCAUCAGUUUUCGGGAGUGAAAAAGGGUAAAGAGAAGGUGGCAACCUUGGUUGUGUUAUAGCUCUUUACUGGAUUCAUUUUUGGGGACUGAGGAUCGCAAUGCGCAAGUUUGACUUGCAAACCUCUCGAGGUUUUCGCAUUUAGGAUGCUGGUGGAAUGGUUUUAAACGACCCGUCUUGAAACAACGGACCA